Molecule: ribosomal RNA, 468 nt
Filed under: uncultured bacterium
Lineage: Bacteria
Description: partial 16S ribosomal RNA
Rfam family: Bacterial small subunit ribosomal RNA
Source: RNAcentral
GACGAACGCUGGCGGCGUGCUUAACACAUGCAAGUCGAACGGAAAGGCCCUGCUUGUGUGGGGUGCUCGAGUGGCGAACGGGUGAGUAACACGUGAGUAACCUGCCCUUGACUUUGGGAUAACUUCAGGAAACUGGGGCUAAUACCGGAUAGGCGCUCCUGCUGCAUGGUGGGGGUUGGAAAGUUUCGGCGGUGGGGGAUGGACUCGCGGCUUAUCAGCUUGUUGGUGGGGUAGUGGCUUACCAAGGCUUUGACGGGUAGCCGGCCUGAGAGGGUGACCGGCCACAUUGGGACUGUGAUACGGCCCAGACUCCUACGGGCAGCAGCAGUGGAGAAUAUUGCACAAGGGGCGGAAGCCUGAUGCAGCAACGCCGCGUGCGGGAUGACGGCCUUCGGGUUGUAACCCGCUUUCGCCUGUGACGAAGCGUGAGUGACGGUAAUGGGUAAAGAAGCACCGGCUAACUACGUG